GGGGCCGUAGUCUAGCCUGGCUAGGAUGCCGGCCUGGGGCACAAGCCCCGUCCAGAGCGCCGGUGAACCCGGUCGUGUGCUCAAGCGCACGGGGUAAGUUCAAAUCCCGGCGGCCCCACCA
This 121-nucleotide transfer RNA is filed under the name Vulcanisaeta souniana JCM 11219. RNAcentral's name for it is "tRNA-Pro". It matches the Rfam family "tRNA". Rfam says of the family: Transfer RNA (tRNA) molecules are approximately 80 nucleotides in length. Their secondary structure includes four short double-helical elements and three loops (D, anti-codon, and T loops). The record is from RNAcentral. Lineage: Archaea; Thermoproteati; Thermoproteota; Thermoprotei; Thermoproteales; Thermoproteaceae.